This 74-nucleotide transfer RNA is filed under the name Bacillus phage BM-P1. RNAcentral's name for it is "tRNA-Asn". It matches the Rfam family "tRNA". Rfam says of the family: Transfer RNA (tRNA) molecules are approximately 80 nucleotides in length. Their secondary structure includes four short double-helical elements and three loops (D, anti-codon, and T loops). Lineage: Duplodnaviria; Heunggongvirae; Uroviricota; Caudoviricetes; Herelleviridae. The record is from RNAcentral.
UGUCCCAUAGCUCAACUGGUGGAAGCAUCCGGCUGUUAACCGGAAGGUUGCUGGUUCGAACCCAGCUGGGACAG